This 279-nucleotide ribosomal RNA is filed under the name Triticum aestivum (bread wheat). RNAcentral describes it as "partial small subunit ribosomal RNA". Lineage: Eukaryota; Viridiplantae; Streptophyta; Magnoliopsida; Poales; Poaceae. The record is from RNAcentral.
AUGGACGGUAAGCAAGCGAGCGAGGAUGAGCUGGAGGAGGCCUUCUACGUUUUUGACCGUAACGAGGAUGGGUUCAUAUGCGCCGGGGAGUUGUGGAAUGUGAUGAGGAGGCUAGGGUGGAAAGAAGGGGCGAUGUAUGAGGACUGUGUGAGGAUGAUCUGCGCCUUCGAUGAGGAUGGAGAUGGGAAGAUCAACUUCCUAGAGUUUAGAAGGAUGAUGGAGAAUGCCGUUAAAGUACCAUGUGUUUCGGUGUUUCAUUACUCUGCUCCCUUACUGUAA